UGGGGGAAUAUUGCACAAUGGGCGCAAGCCUGAUGCAGCAACGCCGCGUGAGGGAUGACGGCCUUCGGGUUGUAAACCUCUUUUAGUAGGGAAGAAGCGAAAGUGACGGUACCUGCAGAAAAAAGCACCGGCUAACUACGUGCCAGCAGCCGCGGUAAUACGUAGGGUGCGAGCGUUGUCCGGAAUUAUUGGGCGUAAAGAGCUCGUAGGCGGUCUGUCGCGUCUGCUGUGAAAACCCGAGGCUCAACCUCGGGCCUGCAGUGGGUACGGGCAGACUAGAGUGCGGUAGGGGAGAAUGGAAUUCCUGGUGUAGCGGUGGAAUGCGCAGAUAUCAGGAGGAACACCGAUGGCGAAGGCAGUUCUCUGGGCCGUAACUGACGCUGAGGAGCGAAAGCGUGGGGAGCGAACAGGAUUAGAUACCCUGGUAGUCCACGCCGUAAACGUUGGGCGCUAGAUGUGGGGACCAUUCCACGGUUUCCGUGUCGCAGCUAACGCAUUAAGCGCCCCGCCUGGGGAGUACGGCCGCAAGGCU
Molecule: ribosomal RNA, 532 nt
Filed under: uncultured bacterium
Lineage: Bacteria
Description: partial 16S ribosomal RNA
Rfam family: Bacterial small subunit ribosomal RNA
Source: RNAcentral